RNAcentral lists this ribosomal RNA (301 nucleotides) under uncultured bacterium. Its description in RNAcentral is "partial 16S ribosomal RNA". It matches the Rfam family "Bacterial small subunit ribosomal RNA", at positions 509 to 808 of the family's 1533-position model. The record is from RNAcentral.
CAGCCGCCGCGGUAAUACGUAGGGUGCAAGCGUUGUCCGGAAUCAUUGGGCGUAAAGCGCGCGUAGGUGGCCAUUUAAGUCCGCUGUGAAAGUCAAAGGCUCAACCUUUGAAAGCCGGUGGAUACUGGAUGGCUAGAGUACGGAAGAGGCGAGUGGAAUUCCUGGUGUAGCGGUGGAAUGCGCAGAUAUCAGGAGGAACACCAAUAGCGAAGGCAGCUCGCUGGGACGUUACUGACACUGAGGCGCGAAAGCGUGGGGAGCGAACAGGAUUAGAUACCCAGUAGUCCCUGUCUCUUAUACA